UGAAAAUGAAAUUUGAGGUGGAGUUAAU
RNAcentral lists this non-coding RNA (28 nucleotides) under Mus musculus (house mouse). The record is from RNAcentral. Lineage: Eukaryota; Metazoa; Chordata; Mammalia; Rodentia; Muridae.